AUUUAAGGUUUAAUCUGCUCAAUGAGGAUUUAAAUUGCCGCGGUAUUUUGACCGUGCAAAGGUAGCAUAAUAAGUAGUUUUUUUAUUGAAAGCUGGUAUGAAUGAUUGGACGAGAAAAUUACUGUCUCUAUUGAAUUAAUUUUUUAAUUUAACUUUUGAGUAAAAAGGCUCAAAUUUAUUUCAAAGACGAGAAGACCCUAUAGAGUUUAAUACCAUAAAAAAAUAUAGAGUUUUUGGUUAUUUAAUAUUUGUAUUUUUUAUAGUAUUUAGUUGGGGUGACUUAAAGAUUUAAUAAACUCUUUUAAAUUUUAAUCAUUUAUUUAUGAAUCUAAAAUCUAAUAUUUUUAAAUUUAAUAUAAAUUACCUUAGGGAUAACAGCGUAAUUUCUUUUUAGAGUUCUUAUUGAAAGAGAAGUUUGCGACCUCGAUGUUGGAUUAAAAUUAAUUUUUGGUGCAGAAGCUUGAAAAUUAGGUCUGUUCGACCUUUGAAAUUUUACAUGAUCUGAGU
Molecule: ribosomal RNA, 507 nt
Filed under: Hypolithus sp. UPOL RK0042
Lineage: Eukaryota; Metazoa; Arthropoda; Insecta; Coleoptera; Elateridae
Description: partial 16S ribosomal RNA
Rfam family: Archaeal large subunit ribosomal RNA
Source: RNAcentral